Molecule: ribosomal RNA, 362 nt
Filed under: Microsporidium sp.
Lineage: Eukaryota; Fungi; Microsporidia
Description: SSU rRNA
Rfam family: Microsporidia small subunit ribosomal RNA
Source: RNAcentral
CGGGGAUGNUAGUUUNUGAGAUUAAGCCAUGCAUGUUUUUGAAAGNCNAACGGCUCAGUGAUGCUGCGAUGAUCUGAUCUGUUUGUAGGGAAUAACCUCGGGAAACAGAGGCUAAUUGGGCAGAAUGAGACGCAGGCCUAUCAGCUUGUUGGUAGUGUAAAGGACUACCAAGGCGGCGACGGGUAACGGGAGACGGGAGUCUUAUACCGGAGAGGGCGCCUGAGAGAUGGCGCCUACGUCCAUGGACGGCAGCAGGCGCGGAAAUUGCCCACUCCUUUGUGGGGAGGCAGUUAGGAGACGUAGACAUUGAAGAGGAAUGGAUUAGGAUUGGAGGGCAAGGCUGGUGCCAGCAUCCGCGGUAA